This is a non-coding RNA of Delphinapterus leucas (beluga whale), 6207 nucleotides long. Lineage: Eukaryota; Metazoa; Chordata; Mammalia; Artiodactyla; Monodontidae. The record is from RefSeq and is a predicted model, not a curated record.
CGGAUAUACGCUUCUACAUGAAAAGACCUGAAGAGGCUGUUUAGCGCAUAUCACAGCAUGAGCAGCUGUCUUCUUUAAUGCUUUUAAAAUUAGAAUCCCAAAGAGGAAGAAAAAAUUAUGGUUGCAAUGAUUGCUCUUCGCUUUGGUAGUUGGCAUUUUAAAAAUGAAGCAUGGUUAAAGGUCAAGGAAUGGCUGUGCCAAUGGAUGACUAUAGGCAAGUCAAGAAAUGAGUUUGUUGAGCUUUGGCAGUCGAGGAAAUCUGUGUGGAAUCGGGACCCAUCCUGGAUACUCUGACUCUGGCAUCUAUUGCCGUCCGGUGGAGACGGCUGCGCAGACCUCAUAGCACCAGCCUUCGCCAUUGAGGAAGGUUCACGAAAGGUGUGGGUGUUGACAGACAGCGGCAUUGAGAACAGAUGAGACAACUAAGGAGAGAGAUGUAAAGAGUUAACGCAACAUGACGCAGGUGCAACUCAUCAUCAAGAAGAUGGAGCUGCUUCCCAAGUUGCGCAAAAGAGACGUCCCCCCCCCCUCAAAUUAUCUGCACGAAUCAGAUCAAAAUCCUGCAGACUUUCAAGUAUUUUAACUCAAAAUUGGUAACGGUCUAAAUGGUGCCUUUUCUCAGUGGCUAUACACGUGGGGAGAGAAAAAUAGUAGCUCCAGGAGUAUGCCUUGGAAGGGAGUAAAGAAAGGCCAGACACAGUUCAAGGUUAUAGCUGAACACAACGGCACUGAUGAGAAUUUGGACAGGUAAUACCCUCUCUUGAGAAAUUGUGAAUGUGAAGGAUCCUGGAGAAGAAUGUUGAAGUAUGAUAGCGUUAGAGUUUAAAUGCUCUCAAAGAAUCUUGCUGGCUCGUUGCACAAAGAAAAGUGAUAUUUUAAUCACGAGCUAUCUAUCAUCACUUGAAUUUGAAGGCCCGUUUUGAAGUCACAAGCUACUGAUUCCCAUGAUGUAAGUUUUUAGGUCUCUUGCCGGAACAAAAAAGGUAUGAAAACGGGGGAGGCGGGUAGGGGGCUGGGGGGAGCACAAAGAAGCCAAAUGGCCACAGACCCGACAGAGAGAAGAUACUGUGUCUGUCUGUCUGCAACGCUGUCUCCUUUAAAUUUUGUUCAAGAAGAAAGAAUAAUUGAAUGGCGAGUUUCUCGGACUCUUCCCUCUGGAGAAAAUGGCAAUAUAUGAGAGACGAGAGAGAAUGUACUUAAAAAUACACUAUUGAGGAGUACAAGCCCCAUUGCUAUCAUAAGACAAACACAUUUGAUUCUUCAGUCCGUAAGUUUUCGAGCUCACAUACACAUUAUAGGAAAGAAUACCCAGGGACCCAAAACAAAAUUCUGUUUAAAGUGCAGGCACCAAACUAGGAGACGGCUGAGCUCUCGUGUUAGACGAAGAGUCUAAUGCGAAAGGGCACUUCUGAUGAUGAUCCUGAAUUAUCUCCCAUCUCUCCUGUUCUGACGUGUACUUCUCUUAGACAUAUAGCUGAUAGACUCAAGGGGCCCCUUAAUAAUUCCUUGGAGGGCUGCACAUAGUUUUCUAUCCGCUUGGCACUGGGUGCUCAGAGUGGAGGUUUUAUUGAUUUUUCCAAAAGUGAAAAAAAAAGUUACCUAACUUAGGACUGACAUGAUCUUGUUUUACCCUAUUUCAUUACAUGAGAAAAUUGUAGUUUUUUUUUUUUUUUUUUUUUUACUCUCUCAAAUGCCCAGGAGCCCAGGCUUAAGGAGGGGAAACAGUUCAGACUCUUCAAAUAAAAUAAAAGUAAGACAGAAGAGCCGAGAGCUUCUCUUGUCACAUUUCUACAAUUUCCGGCUUUCAAGCCGCCACUUACAAGCCACUUCUUGACAUAAUCUUUAGGCUUAAGCAUGUGGAACAGUGGACCAACCAGCUUAAUAAAAAGACAAAGAUGAUAUGCAACUAAUGGACAGGGCAUCGCAACUAGGUGUUAACACAUCAUUCAUUGAACUAAAUGCUCUUUCAAACUCUGCAGCAGAAACAAUUAAAGUACUGACGGCAGUCUUAAGUUGCUUCAAAUUGUCUGGCACAAUUGAUCCACAAUUAUCUUUGUACUCCCCGAAGCCCCCGAAUGCUACCUUCUUCAUUGACUUUAAAUUUCCUUCACAGUUCUCCAACCUGUGUUCUGGCAUACUGAAUAUCCGACAAACUGACUAUCCAUGGGAGAAGGCCAUUUUGAUAAUCUUGGAAUCCUGAAUACCCCAUUAAAAAUCCGAGCUGUAUGCCCCUUGAAUGCUUAUAACCAGCUCUUCAUAACAAACAAGAAAUCUUGCUGAACAUUUAAAGAUGAGAGGAGUUAAACUUUAAGACAAAAGAAAGAGAUAAGCUGUUUUUCCAUUAGUUUCAUAACACAACUUGUUAGGGAAAUUCUGUGAGACAGAAUUUAUGGCAAAGAGGCGAAUUCUAUUUCCAAAGUUUUAACUUUAAACUGACCCAUGUCUGGUAUGGUCAAGGAAUUUUGUUCGCUAUUUUUGCAUCCUUGGGCCAAGACUCUGAUGGCCAAUACAAACACUGUUAAUGAAACUUCAUUUACAUGGCUCUUUGGACCUCUCUUUGUUAAAAAGAAAACUCUUAAGUGGCUGAUUCAUCAGGAUUGCUGUGAAAAGCCUCUGAAAUACAACCAGAUGUGCUUUGUUUCCAAGGUGUUGUGAAAAGGAAUUUGUUUUGGGACACAGGCAGAGAUGUGUUCAUUAACACUAUCUUCUACAAAUAAAUAUCUUUCUAAUUUUUUUUUUUUACUUUAAUCUCCUCCCCCUCCCCCUUUGUUGUUGGUGUCUGGUAGAAAAUUGUGCACAGUUAUGUGAGUGAAAAACCUUGAAGAUGGAGAGAAUCAGGUGUCUACUGUGAAUAACGGUGCUGUCGCCCUCAGAGGGACACAGUAUUUGAUCCCAACUGAAAAGUCAUUUUUAGCUGUCAUGUGAAGGUCUGCAGUGGGGUAUAGGCAGUGGACUCAAGAUCACUGAUAUAAUUUAGUCACGCAAACAAGACGAUCCAUGGAUUAUCUUUUGAUCUAAACUUGUACAUUUGAUUUUUUUCUCAAUUAGGUUCAUUCUGAUAUAGAAAUAAAUGGUGAAGAGUAUUUUAGCUGGAACCAACAUUGCCAAGGUUCUUGGACUUCACAAAAGUAAAGGCUAAACAGUGAUGAGGGUAUCAGUGUCAUCAUGGAAUAAAAAAGAAAAACAACUUUUAUUUGUGCAGUAUGUGAGGAAUCCUCAUCAGGAUCUCAUAUUUGCUAUCUUAGUUCAGCUUUUCUAAUAAUGCUGUGGAGAUCUCUGCAUGGAUUUCCAUGUAUCGUUUUAAAAAUGUUUAUUAAAAUUGCUACUUGAUACGAUUUUAUUAUUUCAUACUGUCGAAACUUCUGUCCUCUCUGAAUAAUAAUUCACAUGGUCUAUCGAAUAUAUAUGUGAUGAUAAUAAGUCUAUAUAUAUCAUACAUUCCCUAAUUCUUUGAUGCUUUGCUUGUGGCUUGGGGGAAAUGUUAAUAUUACAGAAGGUGUAGUUUCAGGAAAUAAGUACAAUACUGUUAACAAACAUAUUAAUAUGUAAUAUUGGAAGCCUCACUCCCACACAUAAUCUCUCUUCACCUGCUUACUUUUUUUUUCCCUUUGCACUUAUAACAUUAAGUACCAGCUAAUCGACUUGUUUGAUUGUAUUUUCUGUUCACUGUCUGUUUCCCUUCACUGGAAUAUAAACUCCAUGAAGGCAGGAGGCUUUGAUUUAUUCACUGGUAUAACCUCAGCACCUUGAAUGGUACCUGUCACAUAGCAGCUGUUUAACAGAUGUUUGUUAACGAUUUCACUAGUCAUAGAAAAGGGUAGUACAAACACUGAAUGCAGUUUUCAUUCUAUAAUUCCUUGAUUCUAUCUUUCCCAAUAAGUUAAUGAUGGCCCCACAGUCUAUGUUUACUAAUCACCCUAGGGAAUAUGGCUAAAGGUGUUAAGUAUUAAUUGCUUCAAACACAGUGGGAGGUAUACAUCACUGGAGAAUGUUUAAGUCUUGUUUAAGGUCUUAUACAAGAAGCACUGCUUUUCAUGUAUUCAACAUUUGAGAUAUCGUCAUCGGAAAAGGGAAGGCACAUUUUGGGAAAUGCAGUGACUACUUCUGGAAUUCAAUAAUUUAACUGCGUAUGGUUCCCCCUUCAAAAGUAAAUUCUAUACAGCUAUUACUUUCAUUAAGAUAAAUACAGAUUCAUAUUCAUUCUCAUUCACUCUUUCUCCCUCUCUCUCUCUUACUCACACACAAAGGAUGGAGGAGAAAGAACGGUCAGAAAGACCCUGAUAUAAAUGUAUAAAUGCAAAGAGGAAGGAGCUAAAGUCCUGGAUUGUAGUUUUAGUUCGCUAGUACCCAGGCAAGUGAUCUUGGCCCUUAAUUUCUCUUUGAAGAUUGUUUUGUCAUUGAUUAAACAGUUAAGAUCCUAUCCCUCUCUAACAAGUCUGUAAGCCCACAAAUGGAAGAUAGGAAAAAAGUGGGAAAAGAAAGUUAACUUGUGUAAGUGAUUCUGAUAGCCUUUCAAUUUUUGAUGGAUUAAAAAAUCACUAAUUCCCAUAUUGCUUUAUCACUUCCCAUUCUUUAUACCUAGAACAUUAUUAUCAUUAUUUAGAGACAACAGAGUUCACAUCUGGUCCCCCAACUCAGAGCAUUGCCUUUGGUGAACAAUUCUGUUGCCUAUAUAAUUAAUCAGAGGAAAUUUCAAAAUAGUUGAUACCAUCAAUCUCUUUGCCAGCAUAUCUGACAGCUUAUUUUAUCAUGCCCUUGGAAUGAUGCCAGAUAGCAAGAACUAGUAACUUCAGGCAAACCUUGUCCUAACACCUGCUUUGUUACCUACCUUGCUGGAUACACGUGGUUCACCAGAAACAAGCCAGUAUAGAGAAUUUCAUUAAGUUACUUCUGUAUCUUUAAUCAACUCUCCCUAGCUUCUUGGAAGGAAUUCAUCCCUACUUGUCACAAGUGGACCAGGUAGCAGCUCCCCUACAGUAAAGGAAAGACUUUUCCCUACUGUAUUAGAACCUCCUGUAUGUUGGCUACUCUGAAGAGUGGUCUUACCUAUCAUGUUUAUACCUAUGGCUUUCUGCUCAGAAAUUAAAAUAAGCUGGUGAUGACUGGGAAAACUUAGGUUGAUUUAUAUAUUUUUAAUUAGUCAAGACCAACAAGAUGAUUAUAUUAUUCCCAUUUAAAAAUUUAAGUAAUCAAAGCAGAGCAAGUGCCAGGGUCACCAAAUUAGGCCCCUGCUAAGACCAAGAUUACAAUACAAGAGUUCUUGGUACGUUAUGUUUCCAAUUAUAUAAAAGGUUCUCUUGCACUAAGACAGAUCCUACACAGUCAAAUAGAAAACACACUGGAUUGGAAAUCAAAUAAUAUGGAUUUUACCACGAAUUUACUAUAACACCACAGGUAGUUAUCCCAGUUGUGACUUCAUUCAUUCAAUAUUAAUUUAUGUAAUAAACAAAUACCCAAUCUGUGCACGCAUACACGCAUGAAAGAGGCAGAAAGUAGUUUCAAGGUGACAAAUUGACAAGAGAGUGUAUAAACCACAUGUACAAUGCUGAGGGGAUUCAGAGGAAUUGAUCUUAAGGGGCUCUGCUAGGCUGACUGGUUUUGACACCUGGUCCUUCCAUUCAAACUGACGAUGACAUAAUUCACCAAAUUAUAAGGUUGUUUUGGACCUGUGAAAAUACAGCUUCAAACGUUUUUCUGGUCUAUCAAUUUUCCUGUGUUUGAAAUAGAAUGAUGACUACUCUAAUUAAUAAAAUGAAAAUAAACUAUGUAGUUCUUCUCAAAUGCUGUGGAAUAGUCUAUGCCAGUGAUUCUCCUUAUUUUCUAUGUCAAGGACCCUUUGAGAAUCUUAUAAAAGCUAAAAAAAACCUCACCUCCAAUCAUAAAAAAUAGGUGAACACAAAAUUUUGUAUCAAUUUCAGGGAUUCAGAAGGUCCCCAAAUCCUAUCCCUGGAUCUCGGGUUAGAAAUCUGUGUCCUAAACCAAAAGGCGACACAGCUUCAGGAGAACAUCCUCGUUUGCUGCGAUGAUCUUGAUUCUAGCUCCACAAUCCAUUUAUUCCACAGAUAUUAUUAAGCAUCUAAGAUGUGCCACAUGCUGUUCCAGGUGAUGCGAUGUCUCAGAGAACAAAACAGACAAAGUUUCUUGACCUCAGCAGGGCGGAAAACAGACAAUAAACAAAAGCAAUAACUAAAUUAUAUGGCAUGCCAG